This 253-nucleotide ribosomal RNA is filed under the name uncultured bacterium. RNAcentral describes it as "partial 16S ribosomal RNA". It matches the Rfam family "Bacterial small subunit ribosomal RNA", at positions 524 to 776 of the family's 1533-position model. The record is from RNAcentral.
UACGGGGGGGGCAAGCGUUGUUCGGAAUUACUGGGCGUAAAGGGUUCGUAGGUGGCCUGCUAAGUCAGACGUGAAAUCCCUCAGCUUAACUGGGGAACUGCGUCUGAGACUGGUGGGCUUGAGUGCAGGAGAGGAACGCGGAAUUCCAGGUGUAGCGGUGAAAUGCGUAGAUAUCAGGAGGAACACCGGUGGCGAAGGCGGGUCUCUGGGCCGAAACUGACGCUGAGGAGCGAAAGCGUGGGGAGCAAACAGG